This 441-nucleotide long non-coding RNA is filed under the name Centruroides sculpturatus (bark scorpion). RNAcentral's name for it is "uncharacterized LOC111620935, transcript variant X2". Lineage: Eukaryota; Metazoa; Arthropoda; Arachnida; Scorpiones; Buthidae. The record is from RNAcentral.
AUAUAUAUAAAGCAGAAGUUUGACGGAUGCUUGAAAAUAUCCGUUCUAUCGUCGAACCACGAUGGCUAAGUUGGUACUCUUCCUUUUCUUCGUUUCCUUAUACGCAGCUUUCGCCCAAGCCAGACAAUGCGGUUCGUCCGGAGCAUCCGGUCUCCCGGGGGUCGAUACGAUGUUUAACGUCGCUCUGGUCGUUGCAUUCGGCUGUUUUCACAAAUACCUGAGUUUUAAGUGAAAUGGAACUGAAACUAGCGAUAUAAAAUUUCAAUUUUAUAAUUUAAUCGGUCGAUAAUUUAUUAUUUCGUACAGUAGAUUGCUUUCGUAAUAAUUAAUCUAUUAGAUAAAGUUUCAAUAUUGUCACUUCAAACGUAAGAGAUUUUGCUUAUUUUAAGGAAUCAAAAUAUGUAAAUGUCAAAUUACGAAUAAAGCGUAUUUAAAUUAUGA